This 1034-nucleotide ribosomal RNA is filed under the name Vibrio rumoiensis. Its description in RNAcentral is "bacterial SSU rRNA". It matches the Rfam family "Bacterial small subunit ribosomal RNA", at positions 38 to 1065 of the family's 1533-position model. Lineage: Bacteria; Pseudomonadati; Pseudomonadota; Gammaproteobacteria; Vibrionales; Vibrionaceae. The record is from RNAcentral.
GGUUGGCGCAGCUACCAUGCAGUCGAGCGGAACGAGAAGUAGCUUGCUACUUCGGCGUCGAGCGGCGGACGGGUGAGUAAUGCAUAGGAAGUUGCCCAGUAGAGGGGGAUAACCAUUGGAAACGAUGGCUAAUACCGCAUGACCUCUUCGGAUCAAAGAAGGGGACCUUCGGGCCUUGCGCUAUUGGAUACGCCUAUGUGGGAUUAGCUAGUUGGUGAGGUAAGGGCUCACCAAGGCGACGAUCCCUAGCUGGUCUGAGAGGAUGAUCAGCCACACUGGGACUGAGACACGGCCCAGACUCCUACGGGAGGCAGCAGUGGGGAAUAUUGCACAAUGGGCGAAAGCCUGAUGCAGCCAUGCCGCGUGUAUGAAGAAGGCCUUCGGGUUGUAAAGUACUUUCUGUUGUGAGGAAGGCGGUAAGAUUAAUACUCUUAUCGUUUGACGUUAGCAACAUAAGAAGCACCGGCUAACUCCGUGCCAGCAGCCGCGGUAAUACGGAGGGUGCGAGCGUUAAUCGGAAUUACUGGGCGUAAAGCGCAUGCAGGUGGUUUGUUAAGUCAGAUGUGAAAGCCCGGGGCUCAACCUCGGAAGGUCAUUUGAAACUGGCAAACUAAAGUACUGUAGAGGGGGGUAGAAUUUCAGGUGUAGCGGUGAAAUGCGUAGAGAUCUGAAGGAAUACCAGUGGCGAAGGCGGCCCCCUGGACAGAUACUGACACUCAGAUGCGAAAGCGUGGGGGAGCAAACAGGAUUAGAUACCCUGGUAGUCCACGCCGUAAACGAUGUCUACUUGGAGGUUGUGGCCUUGAGGCUGUGGCUUUCGGAGCUAACGCGUUAAUAUACCGCCUGGGGAGUACGGUCGCAAGAUUAAAACUCAAAUGAAUUGACGGGGCCCUCACAAGCGGUGCAGCAUGUGGUUUAAUUCGAUGCAUCGCGAAGACCUUACCUACUCAUGACAUCCAGAUAUGCCAUAGAGAUACAGGUGUGCCUAUCCGGAGCUCUCAUACAGGUGCUGCAUGACUGUCGUCAGCUCGUGU